CCUGAAAAAUAGGCAUAGGGGGUCCUGCCUGCCCAGUGACUGAAAAGUUAAACGGCCGCGGUAUCUUGACCGUGCGAAGGUAGCAUAAUCAUUUGUCUCCUAAAUAGAGACUGGUAUGAAUGGCAAGACGGAGCUUCACUGUCUCCUCCUCUUUAAUCUGAACUUCACAUUCCCGUGAAGAGGCGAGAAUUAGUUCGUAAGACGAGAAGACCCUGUCGAGCUGUAGCUAAAUUUUAAUUGUUGUUUACUAUUAGCCCUAACUAAUUAUAGUAAGAGUAGCAGGCCUAAAGCAUGACAAAUUAAAACAAGCUUUGAUUGGGGCAAUCCCGGAGAAAGAAAAUCCUCCGCUACUAUAUGGUUAUAUUAACCUAAAAUAAAAGAAUUAUUUUUCUUAAAUCAUAAAAAUGAAGGUAUGAUCCACUUACAGUGAUCAAAAGAACAAG
This 443-nucleotide ribosomal RNA is filed under the name Echinocardium cordatum (sea potato). Its description in RNAcentral is "partial 16S ribosomal RNA". It matches the Rfam family "Archaeal large subunit ribosomal RNA", at positions 1922 to 2458 of the family's 2987-position model. The record is from RNAcentral. Lineage: Eukaryota; Metazoa; Echinodermata; Echinoidea; Spatangoida; Loveniidae.